This 1418-nucleotide ribosomal RNA is filed under the name Klebsiella sp. N2. RNAcentral's name for it is "bacterial SSU rRNA". It matches the Rfam family "Bacterial small subunit ribosomal RNA". The record is from RNAcentral. Lineage: Bacteria; Pseudomonadati; Pseudomonadota; Gammaproteobacteria; Enterobacterales; Enterobacteriaceae. RNAcentral also lists the same sequence under 5 other names.
ACAGAGAGCUUGCUCUCGGGUGACGAGCGGCGGACGGGUGAGUAAUGUCUGGGAAACUGCCUGAUGGAGGGGGAUAACUACUGGAAACGGUAGCUAAUACCGCAUAACGUCGCAAGACCAAAGUGGGGGACCUUCGGGCCUCAUGCCAUCAGAUGUGCCCAGAUGGGAUUAGCUGGUAGGUGGGGUAACGGCUCACCUAGGCGACGAUCCCUAGCUGGUCUGAGAGGAUGACCAGCCACACUGGAACUGAGACACGGUCCAGACUCCUACGGGAGGCAGCAGUGGGGAAUAUUGCACAAUGGGCGCAAGCCUGAUGCAGCCAUGCCGCGUGUGUGAAGAAGGCCUUCGGGUUGUAAAGCACUUUCAGCGGGGAGGAAGGCGGUGAGGUUAAUAACCUCAUCGAUUGACGUUACCCGCAGAAGAAGCACCGGCUAACUCCGUGCCAGCAGCCGCGGUAAUACGGAGGGUGCAAGCGUUAAUCGGAAUUACUGGGCGUAAAGCGCACGCAGGCGGUCUGUCAAGUCGGAUGUGAAAUCCCCGGGCUCAACCUGGGAACUGCAUUCGAAACUGGCAGGCUAGAGUCUUGUAGAGGGGGGUAGAAUUCCAGGUGUAGCGGUGAAAUGCGUAGAGAUCUGGAGGAAUACCGGUGGCGAAGGCGGCCCCCUGGACAAAGACUGACGCUCAGGUGCGAAAGCGUGGGGAGCAAACAGGAUUAGAUACCCUGGUAGUCCACGCUGUAAACGAUGUCGAUUUGGAGGUUGUGCCCUUGAGGCGUGGCUUCCGGAGCUAACGCGUUAAAUCGACCGCCUGGGGAGUACGGCCGCAAGGUUAAAACUCAAAUGAAUUGACGGGGGCCCGCACAAGCGGUGGAGCAUGUGGUUUAAUUCGAUGCAACGCGAAGAACCUUACCUGGUCUUGACAUCCACAGAACUUUCCAGAGAUGGAUUGGUGCCUUCGGGAACUGUGAGACAGGUGCUGCAUGGCUGUCGUCAGCUCGUGUUGUGAAAUGUUGGGUUAAGUCCCGCAACGAGCGCAACCCUUAUCCUUUGUUGCCAGCGGUUAGGCCGGGAACUCAAAGGAGACUGCCAGUGAUAAACUGGAGGAAGGUGGGGAUGACGUCAAGUCAUCAUGGCCCUUACGACCAGGGCUACACACGUGCUACAAUGGCAUAUACAAAGAGAAGCGACCUCGCGAGAGCAAGCGGACCUCAUAAAGUAUGUCGUAGUCCGGAUUGGAGUCUGCAACUCGACUCCAUGAAGUCGGAAUCGCUAGUAAUCGUAGAUCAGAAUGCUACGGUGAAUACGUUCCCGGGCCUUGUACACACCGCCCGUCACACCAUGGGAGUGGGUUGCAAAAGAAGUAGGUAGCUUAACCUUCGGGAGGGCGCUUACCACUUUGUGAUUCAUGACUGGGGGAAG